CACAGUGAUGCCUCUACACUGAUUCUCAGAGAACCACCUCAGGAAACUUGUAGCUCAGCCCUAAGAAGAGGGUCAGAAGAUAUGUCAAGAGACGAGAAAGCAACUACUCAUCAUAGUCAAGCAAUCAGCAGGACAGAUGCCAUGGACAGUGGAAGAAAUUCUGACAUGAAAGGACACAAUUUUG
Suncus etruscus (white-toothed pygmy shrew) is the source of this 184-nucleotide long non-coding RNA. RefSeq lists it as uncharacterized. The transcript has 3 exons. The record is from RefSeq and is a predicted model, not a curated record. Lineage: Eukaryota; Metazoa; Chordata; Mammalia; Eulipotyphla; Soricidae.